CCUGGUUGAUUCUGCCAGUAGUCAUAUGCUUGUCUCAAAGAUUAAGCCAUGCAUGUCUAAGUAUAAGCAAUUAUACCGCGAAACUGCGAAUGGCUCAUUAAAUCAGUUAUCGUCUAUUUGAUAGUACCUUACUACUUGGAUAACCGUGGUAAUUCUAGAGCUAAUACAUGCUGAAAACCCCGACUUCGGAAGGGAUGUAUUUAUUAGAUUAAAAACCAAUGCCCUCCGGGGCUCCCUGGUGAUUCAUAAUAACUGCUCGAAUCGCACGGCCUUGCGCCGGCGAUGGUUCAUUCAAAUUUCUGCCCUAUCAACUUUCGACGGCUGGGUCUUGGCCAGCCAUGGUGACAACGGGUAACGGAGGGUUAGGGCUCGACCCCGGAGAAGGAGCCUGAGAAACGGCUACUACAUCCAAGGAAGGCAGCAGGCGCGCAAAUUACCCAAUCCCGACGCGGGGAGGUAGUGACAAUAAAUACUGAUACAGGGCUCUUUUGGGUCUUGUAAUUGGAAUGAGUACAAUUUAAUUCCUUAACGAGGAACAAUUGGAGGGCAAGUCUGGUGCCAGCAGCCGCGGUAAUUCCAGCUCCAAUAGCGUAUAUUAAAGUUGUUGCAGUUAAAAAGCUCGUAGUUGAACCUUGGGCCUGGCUGGCCGGUCCGCCUCACCGCGUGCACUGGUCCGGCCGGGCCUUUCCCUCUGGGGAGCCGCAUGCCCUUCACUGGGCGUGCCGGGGAACCAGGACGUUUACUUUGAAAAAAUUAGAGUGUUCAAAGCAGGCUUAUGCUCGGAUACAUUAGCAUGGAAUAAUAGAAUAGGACGCGCGGUUCUAUUUUUGUUGGUUUCUAGGACCGCCGUAAUGAUUAAUAGGGACAGUCGGGGGCAUCAGUAUUCAAUUGUCAGAGGUGAAAUUCUUGGAUCUAUUGAAGACUAACUACUGCGAAAGCAUUUGCCAAGGAUGUUUUCAUUAAUCAGGAACGAAAGUUAGGGGAUCGAAGACGAUCAGAUACCGUCGUAGUCUAACCAUAAACUAUGCCGACUAGGGAUCGGACGGUGUUAUUUUUUGACCCGUUCGGCACCUUACACGAAAGUACAAGUUUCUGGGUUCUGGGGGGAGUAUGGUCGCAAGGCUGAACUUAAAGAAAUUGACGGAAGGGCACCACCAGGGGUAAACACUUGAUUGUUUCGCCGCAGUUAACUCUGCCCCGGAAAGCCGCCCGAAAGGGUCGGUGGUGCCCCGCUGGCUAGUCGACGCCCCGCCCGGGGGGCGGCGGCGACAUCCUCAAAGUGCGGGGAACCCCUAAAGCUCCUGCUCCAAAGCCGGCCCGCGAAAGCAGCCGGUGGCCAGGCGAAAGGCCUC
RNAcentral lists this ribosomal RNA (1352 nucleotides) under Fragosphaeria purpurea. Its description in RNAcentral is "SSU rRNA". It matches the Rfam family "Eukaryotic small subunit ribosomal RNA", at positions 3 to 1565 of the family's 1831-position model. Lineage: Eukaryota; Fungi; Ascomycota; Sordariomycetes; Ophiostomatales; Ophiostomataceae. The record is from RNAcentral.